This 87-nucleotide transfer RNA is filed under the name Helianthus annuus (common sunflower). RNAcentral describes it as "tRNA-Val". The stretch from base 4 to 76 matches the Rfam family "tRNA". Rfam says of the family: Transfer RNA (tRNA) molecules are approximately 80 nucleotides in length. Their secondary structure includes four short double-helical elements and three loops (D, anti-codon, and T loops). Lineage: Eukaryota; Viridiplantae; Streptophyta; Magnoliopsida; Asterales; Asteraceae. The record is from RNAcentral.
GAUGUUUCUGUGGUGUAGUGGUUAUCACGUUUGCUUUACACGCAAAAGGUCUCCGGUUCGAUCCCGGGCAGGAACAUUUAGAAGUAC